GACGAACGCUGGCGGCGUGCUUAACACAUGCAAGUCGAACGGAAAGGCCCUGCUUUUGUGGGUUUCUCGAUUGGCGAACGGGUGUGUAACACGUGAGUAACCUGCCCUUGUCUUUGUGAUAACUUCAGGAAACUGGGGCUAAUACCCGAUAGGAUCUCCUGCUGCAUGUGGGUGAUUGGUAAGUUUCGGCGUUUGGGGAUGUACUCGCGGUUUAUCAGCUUGUUGGUGGGUAGUGGCUUACCAAGGCUUUGACGGGUAGCCGUCCUGAGAGGGUGAACGGCCACAUUGGGACUGCGAUACGGACCAGACUCCUACGGGAGGCAGUAGUGGGGAACAUUGCACAAUGGGCGGAAGCCUGAUGCAGCAACGCCGCGUGCGGGAUGCCGGCCUUCGGGUUGUAAACAGCUUUCGACUGUGACGAAGAGUGAGUGACGGUAAUGGGUAAAGAAGCACCGGCUAACUACGUG
This 467-nucleotide ribosomal RNA is filed under the name uncultured bacterium. RNAcentral's name for it is "partial 16S ribosomal RNA". It matches the Rfam family "Bacterial small subunit ribosomal RNA", at positions 28 to 507 of the family's 1533-position model. The record is from RNAcentral.